Molecule: small RNA, 73 nt
Filed under: Algoriphagus antarcticus
Lineage: Bacteria; Pseudomonadati; Bacteroidota; Cytophagia; Cytophagales; Cyclobacteriaceae
Description: Flavo-1 RNA
Source: RNAcentral
UUGAAUGCGUGAGGGAUAGCAGCUGUAUCCACUAAGCGAAGCGCAGUGGAUACAGCGGAUAGCCCGACCCCGG